CACUUUAGUUUCCAUUCCUCAAACAUUUUGCAUAGAUUGACUAAGCUUAGUAUGAUGCUAGUAGACAUUUGACAUUUCUGAGAUUUCUCCCAAUUUAAAUGGCCUCCUACAUUUGCAUCAAGUUGGCUUGCAUUGGCUGGGUUCAAAUUACAGCGUUUGGCUUUGAGCUCUGAGAAAAUCUGGUUUUAAACCGUGCCGUCUCUCAUUACAGGUGCCAUGGUCUUCUAGCCACACUGAAUGGACGACAGCAGGGCUGGAUUGUCAUUGGCUGGCCUGAAGCACCUCUGCUGGGUGGGUGUGGUGUGGCUGCGGUCGGUCACGGCCACUCUCGAAAACAAACCAUCUAUCCACUGUUGAGAGGAGCCACAGAGAAGAGCUGAAAAAUCUACAGAAGAGAGGCCACAAAGGCCUUCUCCCUACAGCACAACACUAAUUCAUGCCAUGCUUGUUCAUUGCCAAAUCAGAGGCACAAGGACACAAUACACUCUUACACCAAUAUCUACUCUUUGGAAACUCUUUUGCAAUCCAUCGAGGUCAAGAACAUUCCAUUGAACUAUGAUAAAUGACAACUAAAGCAUGAUUUUCCUUUCUUCUUCACUUUGAUUGGCAGUAGAGCAUGUUCAUGUUGCUUCCAAAACGCCUUAUGGACACUGCGUUAAACAAAACAUCUACAGAAAUGCAGAACAUCCCCAUGGGAAAGUGCAAGUUUACUCGAGCAGGAUGUGAAAUGCCUGUGGUACUUCUAUUUAACAGAUAUAUAAAUA
Molecule: long non-coding RNA, 764 nt
Organism: Sinocyclocheilus rhinocerous
Lineage: Eukaryota; Metazoa; Chordata; Actinopteri; Cypriniformes; Cyprinidae
Exons: 3
Source: RefSeq, a predicted model, not a curated record